Triticum aestivum (bread wheat) is the source of this 131-nucleotide non-coding RNA. The record is from Rfam. NCBI's taxonomy places the organism in Eukaryota, Viridiplantae, Streptophyta, Magnoliopsida, Poales, Poaceae.
AAACUACCCCUCCGUCCUAAAAUUCUUGUCUUACAUUUGUCUAGAUACGGAUAUAUCAAAAUCUAGACAAAUCGAUACAUCCGUAUCUAGAUAAAUCUAAAACAAGAAUUUUGGGAUGGAGGGAGUACAUC